Macaca mulatta (Rhesus monkey) is the source of this 870-nucleotide non-coding RNA. Lineage: Eukaryota; Metazoa; Chordata; Mammalia; Primates; Cercopithecidae. The record is from RefSeq and is a predicted model, not a curated record.
CCUGCCAUCGCCACCAUCCUGGCCUCGGGGGCGUCGGCCUCCAGGUCCCCGGGAGGAGAACUCCCAGAGCUACUAAAUCCUCGCUGGAGGCAGUGGUUUCUUAUGCGAGGGGACGUUGCGGAGGGCCCAACUUUGGGAGCUGGGCCGGUCGGUCUUUGAGGUCCGCAGAGGGACGUGAUGGGCGGGAAUGGGACGACCCGGCUCCUCCACUGGUGGGGCCGCCUGUGGUGCUUGCGGACUCGGGAGAUCCAGUGUCCAGUGGUAAUCUGUGAAAAUGGUUCGCUAUUCACUUGACCCGGAGAACCCCAUGAAAUCAUGCAAAUCAAGAGGUUCCAAUCUUCGUGUUCACUUUAAGAACAUUCGUGAAACUGCCCAGGCCAUCAAGGGUGUGCAUAUUCGAAAAGCCACGAAGUAUCUGAAAGAUGUCUCUUUACAGAAACAGUGCGUACCAUUCCGACGUUACAAUGGUGGAGUUGGCAGGUGUGCCCAGGCCAAGCAGUGGGGCUGGACACAAGGUCGGUGGGCCAAAAAGAGUGCAGAAUUUUUGCUGCACAUGCUUAAAAACGCAGAGAGUAAUGCUGAACUUAAGGGUUUAGAUGUAGAUUCUCUGGGCAUCGAGCAUAUCCAAGUGAACAAAGCACCUAAGAUGCUCCGACGAACCUACAGAGCUCAUGGUCGGAUUAACCCAUACAUGAGCUCUCCCUGCUACAUUGAGAUGAUCCUUACUGAAAAGGAACAGAUUGUUCCUAAACCAGAAGAGGAGGUUGCCCAGAAGAAAAAGAUAUCCCAGAAGAAACUGAAGAAACAAAAACUUAUGGCACGGGAGUAAAUUCAGCAUUAAAAUAAAUGUAAUUAAAAGGAAAAAAAAAA